GGAGGGUGCAAGCGUUGUUCGGAGUUAUUGGGCGUAAAGAGCGUGUAGGCGGUCCGGUAAGUCAGAUGUGAAAGCCCUGGGCUCAACCCAGGAAGUGCAUUUGAAACUACCAGACUUGAGUACGGGAGAGGAGGGGGGAAUUCCCGGUGUAGAGGUGAAAUUCGUAGAUAUCGGGAGGAAUACCAGUGGCGAAGGCGCCCCUCUGGACCGAUACUGACGCUGAGACGCGAAAGCGUGGGGAGCAAGCAGGAUUAGAUACCCUGGUAGUCCACGCCGUAAACGAUGAGCACUAGGUGUAGCGGGUAUUGACCCCCCUGCUGUGCCCGUAGCUAACGCAUUAAGUGCUCCGCCUGGGGACUACGGUCGCAAGACUA
This 374-nucleotide ribosomal RNA is filed under the name uncultured organism. RNAcentral describes it as "partial 16S ribosomal RNA". It matches the Rfam family "Bacterial small subunit ribosomal RNA", at positions 527 to 896 of the family's 1533-position model. The record is from RNAcentral.